CUAUUAUCUUGAAGAAUUUAAAGAAAAUGCUUAUAAAGACUUGGCAUGGAAGCAUGGAAACAUUCACCUCUCAGCCCCGUGCAUCUACUCGGAGGUGAUGGAAGCCCUAGAUCUGCAGCCUGGACUCUCGUUUCUGAACCUGGGCAGUGGCACUGGGUAUCUCAGCUCCAUGGUGGGCCUCAUUCUAGAUGCUGCAGCUUUUAUUCAAGCUUAAUAGCACUUGGUGCAGAGCACUCCAGAGUGAAACCUCAUUGGCUUCCCGGCGCCUGUGGAUGUGGGUCUCUCAUCUGACGGAGUUCUUUACUGUGACCCCCGACUGCCUUUCGCAUGGCCUGAGCGGCAUCCUGGGGGAGAAUACAGUAGCUACUAAGAGAUGGUGGCUCAUAAGUCACCUACCUGAAAAGUGCUGGGUGAUUCGGAAGCAGGGCAGACCUAGGAGCGGCUCUGCCAGGGGGGCCUCGCUGCUCUGGUUUCAUGCCGUGCUCCAGUGCUGAGUCCCAGGUGCCGUGUUCCUGACACCCCCCGGCC
This 528-nucleotide unclassified non-coding RNA is filed under the name Homo sapiens (human). Its description in RNAcentral is "protein-L-isoaspartate (D-aspartate) O- methyltransferase domain containing 2 (ENSG00000280663.4)". The record is from RNAcentral. Lineage: Eukaryota; Metazoa; Chordata; Mammalia; Primates; Hominidae.